AUGACGUACAUAUAUAUCUGGAUUUCUUCUGUAAGGAGUAUUCUCAUACACGUUUUUUCUCAUCAAUUCUCUUUUGACCAUAGAUAUAUAUGUACGUCAUAUAGACCACCCUCUGCCCCCAGCUGUGCUCUGGACACCAUAUGUGAACUGAUUGCCCCCCAUCUAUCUUCAGAGCUUGUGCUGCUAGGUGACCUAAACUGGGGCAUGCUUAACACCCCAGCCAUCCUACAAUCUAAGCUUGAUGCCCUCAAUCUCACACAAAUUAUCAAUGAACCUACCAGGUACCAGCCCAAAGCCGUAAACACGGGCAACCUCAUAGAUGUCAUCCUAACCAACUUGCCCUCUAAAUACACCUCUGCUGUUUUCAACCAAGAUCUCAGCGAUCACUGCUUCAUUGCCUGCAUCCGUAAUGGGUCAGCGGUCAAACAAUCUCCACUCAUCACUGUCAAACGCUCCCUGAAACACUUCAGCGAGCAGGCCUUUCUAAUCGACCUGGCCCGGGUAUUCUGGAAGGAUAUUGACCUCAUCCCGUCUGUAGAGGAUUCCUGGUUAUUUUUUAGAAAUGCCUUCCUCACCAUCUUAAAUAAGCAUGCCCCAUUCAAGAAAUGUAGAACGAGGAACAGAUAUAGCCCUUGGUUCUCUCCAGACCUGACUGCCCUUAACCAACACAAAAACAUCCUGUGGCGUUCUGCAUUAGCAUCGAACAGCCCCCGUGAUAUGCAACUUUUCAGGGAAGUUAGAAACCAAUAUACACAGGCAGUUAGAAAAGCCAAGGCUAGCUUUUUCCAGCAGAAAUGUUCUUCCUGCAACACAAACUCAAAAAGGUUCUGGGACACUGUAAAGUCCAUGGAGAAUAAGAGCACCUCCUCUCAGCUGCCCACUGCACUGAGGAUAGGAAACUCUGUCACCACCGAUAAAUCCACUAUAAUUGAGAAUUUUAAUAAGCAUUUUUCUACGGCUGGCCAUGCUUUCCACCUGGCUACCCCUACCCCGGUCAACAGCACUGCACCCCCCACAGCAACUCGCCCAAGCCUUUCCAAUUUCUCCUUCUCCCAAAUCCAGUCAGCUGAUGUUUUGAAAGAGCUGCAAAAUCUGGACACCUACAAAUCAGCCGGGCUAGACAAUCUGGACCCCCUCUUUCUAAAAUGA
RNAcentral lists this long non-coding RNA (1149 nucleotides) under Oncorhynchus mykiss (rainbow trout). Its description in RNAcentral is "lncRNA (ENSOMYG00000045621.2)". The record is from RNAcentral. Lineage: Eukaryota; Metazoa; Chordata; Actinopteri; Salmoniformes; Salmonidae.